Long non-coding RNA from Hirundo rustica (Barn swallow), 1399 nucleotides. RefSeq lists it as uncharacterized. NCBI's taxonomy places the organism in Eukaryota, Metazoa, Chordata, Aves, Passeriformes, Hirundinidae. The record is from RefSeq and is a predicted model, not a curated record. The transcript has 3 exons.
GGAUUCCCAGAGGACAAGAGCUGCCAGACCUUUGUACAGGAUCACUGCUUCAGCAAGACCACUUCAUCUGGACUGCUACCACCACAGUUUCAGGCACCAGGUAGUUCGGAGACCAUCGCUGAAUUCAUACAGCUUUUCACACAGUUUGCCACAGCAUCGCUGCAGACAGGGUGAUGGAGUUUAUGUCAGAGAAGAGGAUGGUGACGUGGGUUGGAACCUGCCUGAAAUGCCAGGGGGCUGUGAUUGAUGGCACAAAUCUGGAGGCCAUCACCAGUGGUGUACCCAAGGGCUUGACACUGGGCCCCUCCCCGUGUAACAUCCCUGAGAAUGACCUGAACCAUGGGGCACACCCUCAGCACCCUCACAGAUGAACAGAACUGGGAAGAGUGGCUGGUUCAGUGCAGGAGACCUGGGCAGACUGGGAAUGGAAAGAAACUGGGAAUGGAAGAAACCUUGUGACAUUUCAAUAAAGGCAAGUGCCAAGACCAGCCCCUGGGGAGGAACAGCCCCAAGCACCAGCACACAGUGGCGUCCAGAGUGUGGAAAGCAGCCCUGCAGAAGGACCUUGCUGGUCCUGGUGACAGCACAAGGACAGGGCAGUGACUCAGUGCCCUCAUGGCAAGGGUGCCCAGUGGGGUCCUGGACUGCUCUGAGAGAGGGGUGCUGCCAGCAGGUCAAAGACUCAUCCAUGGCACUCUCAGAUUAGAGAACUGGUAACUGAUUUCUUAUGCUGUGUUUUUUAACCUCCUGCCUUUAAUAGCUGUUUAUUCUUUCAAAGAUUUUCUUUACAUCCCCUGGAAGUUUCUGCAAUGGAAUUUGAUGCAAAGCAUUGUUAGGUGGCUUUGGAAGCCCGAUUGCAUGAAAUGAUCUCUUUGCAUGCUGCUGAUCCCCUCAAAGUUCACGUUUGUGGGAUAUGACAGCCCUCUGCCCAUGCUGAUUCUUCCACAUUAUGUCCCACUUAUCCCUGUGUCCACUUAUAAUUUCUACCAGAUAGUGGUUGAAAUGUCUGGGUAACUCUUUUUUAAGUCCCAGAAAGCCUCUUAAAAAUAUAUUUUGGAGAGGAAUCAACAGAAGGAAUAGCAGCAAACUGCAAAAAGCCAAUGCUAGUAAUUUGAGAAGGCUUAAGGAACUCAAGGAUGAGUGCCAGGUCUCAUUGCCAUAUGAAUGGGAAAUGACUAACAUACAUAGUCUCAAUUUUUGACACUUCAUUUUGAAUAAUUUCCCUGGUAUUUGCCCUCUGCUGGGGAGUGUUAGGUUGGCUAUCUCAUGAAACUCUUCUAUAAGAAAUGUAUAAGCAAAGAAUAAGUUUGCAUAUUCUGUCAUUUCUUUAUUCUGUCCUUCUUAAGCUCAGUGUCAGACUUCUUGUUACAGUGUAUUUAUUAUUUCUUGCGCCUUUCAU